CUCAGAAACUACAAAUGAAGUUGACGGGGCCCGCACAAGCGGUGGAGUAUGUGGUUUAAUUCGAUGCAACGCGAAGAACCUUACCUGGUCUUGACAUCCCGGAGACCCUUAGGAACUAGGGGUGCUUCCAUCUGGAAGAAUCUGGAGACAGGUGCUGCAUGGCUGUCGUCAGCUCGUGUCGUGAGAUGUUGGGUUAAAUCCCGCAACGAGCGCAACCCUUGCCUUUAGUUGCCAGCAGUUCGGCUGGGCACUCUAAAGGGACUGCCGGUGUUAAACCGGAGGAAGGUGGGGAUGACGUCAAGUCCUCAUGGCCUUUAUGACCAGGGCUACACACGUACUACAAUGGCCGAUACAAAGGGCAGCGACACUGCGAGGUGAAGCCAAUCCCGUAAAAUCGGUCUCAGUCCGGAUUGGAGUCUGCAACUCGACUCCAUGAAGUUGGAAUCGCUAGUAAUCGUGGAUCAGCAUGCCACGGUGAAUACGUUCCCGGGCCUU
This 495-nucleotide ribosomal RNA is filed under the name uncultured Desulfobulbus sp. Its description in RNAcentral is "bacterial SSU rRNA". It matches the Rfam family "Bacterial small subunit ribosomal RNA", at positions 903 to 1382 of the family's 1533-position model. Lineage: Bacteria; Pseudomonadati; Thermodesulfobacteriota; Desulfobulbia; Desulfobulbales; Desulfobulbaceae. The record is from RNAcentral.